UGUACACGCUGUGACUAGCAUAUCAAUAAGCGGAGGAAAAGAAACUAACAAGGAUUCCCCUAGUAACGGCGAGUGAAGCGGGAAGAGCUCAAAUUUGAAAUCUUAAAGGGUUUCCCUUUACGAAUUGUAGUUUAAAGAAGUGUUUUCUGUUGAGGUUUUGGUAAAAGUUCUUUGGAAUAGGACAUCAUAGAGGGUGAGAAUCCCGUAUUUGACCUUUACUUUCAACUUUGUGAUACACUUUCAAAGAGUCGGAUUGUUUGGGAAUGCAGUCCAAAAUGGGUGGUAAAUUUCAUCUAAAGCUAAAUAUUGGCGAGAGACCGAUAGCGAACAAGUACCGUGAGGGAAAGAUGAAAAGAACUUUGAAAAGAGAGUUAAACAGUACGUGAAAUUGUCAAAAGGGAAGCGUUUGACACCAGUGUUGUUUUUCUGAAAAUCAAUUAAAGAACUGUUUAUGCUAAGUUGUUUAGACUUUAUCAGCUAACUGUUUAGUUUUGAGCUUUUCUUUAAUGCACUUUUCAGUUAACAAGUCAACAUCAAUUUCUUUUGCUGUAAAAAAGCUUGAGGAAGGUGGCUUGAGAUUCGUCUUAAGUGUUUAUAGCCUCUUGCCUAUGCAGUCGGAGAGAUUGAGGUCUGCAGCGUAGAUCCUUCGGGGCUAAAUGCAUUUGUGCUAAGUUAUAACAUUUUCAUAGACAACUUGUUGACUAUGAUUUGUCUUGUAGCUUACUCGCUUAUGUUAUUUUACCUACGCUUAGGAUGUUGACGAGACUGUCGAUCUC
RNAcentral lists this ribosomal RNA (776 nucleotides) under uncultured Neocallimastigales. RNAcentral's name for it is "partial large subunit ribosomal RNA". It matches the Rfam family "Eukaryotic large subunit ribosomal RNA", at positions 22 to 646 of the family's 3401-position model. Lineage: Eukaryota; Fungi; Neocallimastigomycota; Neocallimastigomycetes; Neocallimastigales. The record is from RNAcentral.